Molecule: ribosomal RNA, 497 nt
Filed under: uncultured bacterium
Lineage: Bacteria
Description: partial 16S ribosomal RNA
Rfam family: Bacterial small subunit ribosomal RNA
Source: RNAcentral
GAUGAACGCUGGCGGCGUGCCUAAUACAUGCAAGUCGAGCGAACAGACGAGGAGCUUGCUCCUCUGACGUUAGCGGCGGACGGGUGAGUAACACGUGGAUAACCUACCUUUAAGACUGGGAUAACUUCGGGAAACCGGAGCUAAUACCGGAUAAUAUAUUGAACCGCAUGGUUCAUUAGUGAAAGACGGUUUUGCUGUCACUUAUAGAUGGAUCCGCGCCGCAUUAGCUAGUUGGUAAGGUAACGGCUUACCAAGGCAACGAUGCGUAGCCGACCUGAGAGGGUGAUCGGCCACACUGGAACUGAGACACGGUCCAGACUCCUACGGGAGGCAGCAGUAGGGAAUCUUCCGCAAUGGGCGAAAGCCUGACGGAGCAACGCCGCGUGAGUGAUGAAGGUCUUCGGAUCGUAAAACUCUGUUAUUAGGGAAGAACAAAUGUGUAAGUAACUAUGCACGUCUUGACGGUACCUAAUCAGAAAGCCACGGCUAACUACGUG